Long non-coding RNA from Teleopsis dalmanni, 358 nucleotides. RefSeq lists it as uncharacterized. Lineage: Eukaryota; Metazoa; Arthropoda; Insecta; Diptera; Diopsidae. The transcript has 3 exons. The record is from RefSeq and is a predicted model, not a curated record.
UUUUUGGUUUUAUUAAACUUUAUAUGCAAAAAUGCGUAUCCUGAAAUCUGCAGUGAUGAAUUUAGGCAAUUUCUUACGUGCAAAUUAUGGGUUUAUGUCUUCACUUUAACAUUCUUUACAAGGGUUUUAGUUGUUAUAUACCACAACCGCUUCCAUUUGCUCAAUAUUUAAAUGAUUUUCCGCCACGAGGUGAUUAGGUGAGUUGGGCUCAAAUUAACUGAGACGCCAAUCUCAAGUAGAUUUAAUUUUGAUAAAUGACUUAAAGCUUAAAAUUAAAUAUUUUGCAUGCUACUUUUGGACUCCAGCCGGGAUUUGCAGAUAUCAAGGUCAACCCAUAUUUAUUUUUAUAUCAACAAAA